Molecule: ribosomal RNA, 254 nt
Filed under: uncultured bacterium
Lineage: Bacteria
Description: partial 16S ribosomal RNA
Rfam family: Bacterial small subunit ribosomal RNA
Source: RNAcentral
CACGUAGGGGGCGAGCGUUGUCCGGAUUUAUUGGGCGUAAAGCGCUCGUAGGCGGCUCAGUAAGUCGGGUGUGAAAACUCCAGGCUCAACCUGGAGACGCCACCCGAUACUGCUGUGGCUAGAGUCCGGUAGGGGAGCAUGGAAUUCCUGGUGUAGCGGUGAAAUGCGCAGAUAUCAGGAGGAACACCAGUGGCGAAGGCGGUGCUCUGGGCCGGAACUGACGCUGAUGAGCGAAAGCGUGGGGAGCAAACAGG